CCAGCACCUGCGGUAAUUCCAGCUCUAAUAGCGUAUAUUAAAGUUGUUGCAGUUAAAAAGCUCGUAGUCGGAAGUCGGGCUCGGGCAGGCUGUCGGCCUCGGUUGGGCAGCUUGCUUGGGUCUUCUAGCUCGGGGGCCCCGUGCCAUUUAACCGUGGUGCGCGGGAACACGGGCCGUUUACUUUGAAAAAAUUAGAGUGUUCAAAGCAGGCCUACGCUUGAAUACAUUAGCAUGGAAUAAUGGAAUAGGACUUUGGUGCUAUUUCGUUGGUUAAUGGGACCGAAGUAAUGAUUAAAAGGGACAGUUGGGGCCGUUUAUAUUUCAUUGUCAGAGGUGAAAUUCUUGGAUUUCUGCAAGACGAACUACUGCGAAAGCAUUUGCCAAGAGUGUUUUCAUUAAUAAAGAACGAAAGU
This 413-nucleotide ribosomal RNA is filed under the name uncultured eukaryote. RNAcentral's name for it is "SSU rRNA". It matches the Rfam family "Eukaryotic small subunit ribosomal RNA", at positions 567 to 990 of the family's 1831-position model. The record is from RNAcentral.